RNAcentral lists this ribosomal RNA (180 nucleotides) under uncultured bacterium. Its description in RNAcentral is "partial 16S ribosomal RNA". It matches the Rfam family "Bacterial small subunit ribosomal RNA", at positions 1321 to 1500 of the family's 1533-position model. The record is from RNAcentral.
UGAAGCUGGAAUUGCUAGUAAUGGCAGGUCAGCAUACUGCCGUGAAUACGUUCCCGGGCCCUGUACACACCGCCCGUCACACCAUGAGAGUUGGGAAUACCCGAAGCCUGUGAGCUAACUUAUAGAGGCAGCAGUCGAAGGUAGAAUCAAUGAUUGGGGGUGAAGUCGUAACAAGGUAAC